AAGAGAGGGGAAUGAUAACCGUAGAUAGUAGGUGCGUAAGCUUAAAAUUAUGCCUGCUGAGGUGAGAACAUAAAAUAAUAUAUAUUAUUAUUUAGUUUACACUUUGUUUACGGGAAGUGUAAACUUUUUAGAUUUAUUG
Clostridiales bacterium GWE2_32_10 is the source of this 139-nucleotide non-coding RNA. NCBI's taxonomy places the organism in Bacteria, Bacillati, Bacillota, Clostridia, Eubacteriales. The record is from Rfam.